Molecule: long non-coding RNA, 505 nt
Organism: Uloborus diversus
Lineage: Eukaryota; Metazoa; Arthropoda; Arachnida; Araneae; Uloboridae
Exons: 3
Source: RefSeq, a predicted model, not a curated record
CCAGAAAGGGUUUGGAUCGACCUUCAACCUUACCGGUUAAAAAAGUGACCCCUGAAUAGCUCUGCUCCCCUUCGUACCAUAACGGAAGUCGUGACAAAGGGAUGCUGGAAAGGGUUAGAAUAAAAACUUUCCCCUCUCUAGUUUUUUUAGAAGCCUAGUUUUUGAUAUAGAAGGGUUAGGACGACCUAGUGGGUGACCUAACUAAGCGCCUGGUUACGUAACUGAUCGGAAUCUGAGUGAAGAUGUAUUUAGUAGGUUUUUAGGUUUUGGAGCUAAAGCAUGGAGCAGAGAUUUGCAGAGUCUGCUUCUUUUCCAUUCUGUCGAAUCCUUUUGUAGAAACUCUGAAAGUAACGUACGUAUCAGUUAGAUCAUUGUUUUCGGACUCUUGUCCAUAUUCGCUUUUGCAUGUGCCGAUGGACACGGAUCCUUAGUAAUCCACCAUAAGCCCGGCCAUCACGGAUAUGCCUACCAUGGAGGACAUGGAGUCAGCACACGCUAUGACGUC